Molecule: ribosomal RNA, 500 nt
Filed under: uncultured Glomeromycotina
Lineage: Eukaryota; Fungi; Glomeromycota
Description: partial small subunit ribosomal RNA
Rfam family: Eukaryotic small subunit ribosomal RNA
Source: RNAcentral
CCAAUAGCGUAUAUUAAAGUUGUUGCAGUUAAAAAGCUCGUAGUUGAAUUUCGGGGUUAGUAGGUUGGUCAUGCCUCUGGUAUGUACUGGUCUCACUGAUUCCUCCUUCCUGAUGAUCCGUAAUGCCAUUUAUUUGGUGUUGCGGGGAAUUUGGACUGUUACUUUGAAAAAAUUAGAGUGUUUAAAGCAAGCUAACGCUUGAAUACAUUAGCAUGGAAUAAUGAAAUAGGACGUUCGAUCCUAUUUUGUUGGUUUCUAGGAUUGACGUAAUGAUUAAUAGGGAUAGUUGGGGGCAUUAGUAUUCAAUUGUCAGAGGUGAAAUUCUUGGAUUUAUUGAAGACUAACUACUGCGAAAGCAUUUGCCAAGGAUGUUUUCAUUAAUCAAGAACGAAAGUUAGGGGAUCGAAGACGAUCAGAUGCCGUCGUAGUCUUAACCAUAAACUAUGCCGACUAGGGAUCGGAUGAUGUUAAUUUUUUAAUGACUCAUUCGGCGCCUUACG